Molecule: ribosomal RNA, 807 nt
Filed under: uncultured bacterium
Lineage: Bacteria
Description: bacterial SSU rRNA
Rfam family: Bacterial small subunit ribosomal RNA
Source: RNAcentral
CGUAGCAAUACGUUUGUAAAGCGGCGAACGGGUGAGGAAUACAUGGGUAACCUACCCUCGAGUGGGGAAUAACUAGCCGAAAGGUUAGCUAAUACCGCGUACGCUCCUUGGACUUCGGUUCAGGGAGGAAAGCGAUACCGUGGGUAUCGCGCUCUUGGAUGGGCUCAUGUCCUAUCAGCUUGUUGGUGAGGUAACGGCUCACCAAGGCUUCGACGGGUAGCUGGUCUGAGAGGACGAUCAGCCACACUGGCACUGCGACACGGGCCAGACUCCUACGGGAGGCAGCAGUAAGGAAUAUUGCGCAAUGGGCGAAAGCCUGACGCAGCGACGCCGCGUGGGGGAUGAAGGUCUUCGGAUUGUAAACCCCUUUCGGGAGGGAAGAUGGAAUGGGGUAACCCAUUCGGACGGUACCUCCAGAAGCAGCCACGGCUAACUUCGUGCCAGCAGCCGCGGUAAUACGAAGGUGGCAAGCGUUGUUCGGAUUUACUGGGCGUACAGGGAGCGUAGGCGGUUCGGUAAGCCCUCUGUGAAAUCUCCAGGCUUAACCUGGAACAGUCGGAGGGGACUGCUGGGCUAGAGGACGGGAGAGGAGCGCGGAAUUCCCGGUGUAGCGGUGAAAUGCGUAGAGAUCGGGAGGAAGGCCGGUGGCGAAGGCGGCGCUCUGGAACGUUUCUGACGCUGAGGCUCGAAAGCGUGGGGAGCAAACAGGAUUAGAUACCCUGGUAGUCCACGCCUUAAACUAUGAAUACUAAGUGUCGGCGGGUUACCGCCGGUGCCGCAGCUAACGCAUUAAGUAUUCCGCCUGGG